RNAcentral lists this non-coding RNA (22 nucleotides) under Arabidopsis thaliana (thale cress). Lineage: Eukaryota; Viridiplantae; Streptophyta; Magnoliopsida; Brassicales; Brassicaceae. The record is from RNAcentral.
CACUUAGACCAUCUCCAUCGGA